GAUGAACGCUGGCGGCGUGCCUAAUACAUGCAAGUCGAGCGAACAGACGAGGAGCUUGCUCCUCUGACGUUAGCGGCGGACGGGUGAGUAACACGUGGAUAACCUACCUAUAAGACUGGGAUAACUUCGGGAAACCGGAGCUAAUACCGGAUAAUAUAUUGAACCGCAUGGUUCAAUAGUGAAAGACGGUUUUGCUGUCACUUAUAGAUGGAUCCGCGCCGCAUUAGCUAGUUGGUAAGGUAACGGCUUACCAAGGCGACGAUGCGUAGCCGACCUGAGAGGGUGAUCGGCAACACUGGAAAUGAGACACGGUCCAGACUCCUACGGGAGGCAGCAGUAGGGAAUCUUCCGCAAUGGGCGAAAGCCUGACGGAGCAACGCCGCGUGAGUGAUGAAGGUCUUCGGAUCGUAAAACUCUGUUAUUAGGGAAGAACAAAUGUGUAAGUAACUAUGCACGUCUUGACGGUACCUAAUCAGAAAGCCACGGCUAACUACGUG
This 497-nucleotide ribosomal RNA is filed under the name uncultured bacterium. RNAcentral's name for it is "partial 16S ribosomal RNA". It matches the Rfam family "Bacterial small subunit ribosomal RNA", at positions 28 to 507 of the family's 1533-position model. The record is from RNAcentral.